This 1682-nucleotide ribosomal RNA is filed under the name Salmonella enterica subsp. enterica serovar Typhi. Its description in RNAcentral is "partial 23S ribosomal RNA". It matches the Rfam family "Bacterial large subunit ribosomal RNA", at positions 1277 to 2925 of the family's 2925-position model. The record is from RNAcentral. Lineage: Bacteria; Pseudomonadati; Pseudomonadota; Gammaproteobacteria; Enterobacterales; Enterobacteriaceae.
AGGUAUCAGAAGUGCGAAUGCUGACAUAAGUAACGAUAAAGCGGGUGAAAAGCCCGCUCGCCGGAAGACCAAGGGUUCCUGUCCAACGUUAAUCGGGGCAGGGUGAGUCGACCCCUAAGGCGAGGCCGAAAGGCGUAGUCGAUGGGAAACGGGUUAAUAUUCCCGUACUUGGUGUUACUGCGAAGGGGGGACGGAGAAGGCUAUGUUGGCCGGGCGACGGUUGUCCCGGUUUAAGCGUGUAGGUAUGUGUUCCAGGUAAAUCCGGUUCACUUUAACACUGAGGCGUGACGACGAGGCACUACGGUGCUGAAGCAACAAAUGCCCUGCUUCCAGGAAAAGCCUCUAAGCAUCAGGUAACAUCAAAUCGUACCCCAAACCGACACAGGUGGUCAGGUAGAGAAUACCAAGGCGCUUGAGAGAACUCGGGUGAAGGAACUAGGCAAAAUGGUGCCGUAACUUCGGGAGAAGGCACGCUGACACGUAGGUGAAGUGAUUUACUCACGGAGCUGAAGUCAGCCGAAGAUACCAGCUGGCUGCAACUGUUUAUUAAAAACACAGCACUGUGCAAACACGAAAGUGGACGUAUACGGUGUGACGCCUGCCCGGUGCCGGAAGGUUAAUUGAUGGGGUCAGCGCAAGCGAAGCUCCUGAUCGAAGCCCCGGUAAACGGCGGCCGUAACUAUAACGGUCCUAAGGUAGCGAAAUUCCUUGUCGGGUAAGUUCCGACCUGCACGAAUGGCGUAAUGAUGGCCAGGCUGUCUCCACCCGAGACUCAGUGAAAUUGAACUCGCUGUGAAGAUGCAGUGUACCCGCGGCAAGACGGAAAGACCCCGUGAACCUUUACUAUAGCUUGACACUGAACAUUGAGCCUUGAUGUGUAGGAUAGGUGGGAGGCUUUGAAGUGUGGACGCCAGUCUGCAUGGAGCCGACCUUGAAAUACCACCCUUUAAUGUUUGAUGUUCUAACGUGGACCCGUGAUCCGGGUUGCGGACAGUGUCUGGUGGGUAGUUUGACUGGGGCGGUCUCCUCCUAAAGAGUAACGGAGGAGCACGAAGGUUGGCUAAUCCUGGUCGGACAUCAGGAGGUUAGUGCAAUGGCAUAAGCCAGCUUGACUGCGAGCGUGACGGCGCGAGCAGGUGCGAAAGCAGGUCAUAGUGAUCCGGUGGUUCUGAAUGGAAGGGCCAUCGCUCAACGGAUAAAAGGUACUCCGGGGAUAACAGGCUGAUACCGCCCAAGAGUUCAUAUCGACGGCGGUGUUUGGCACCUCGAUGUCGGCUCAUCACAUCCUGGGGCUGAAGUAGGUCCCAAGGGUAUGGCUGUUCGCCAUUUAAAGUGGUACGCGAGCUGGGUUUAGAACGUCGUGAGACAGUUCGGUCCCUAUCUGCCGUGGGCGCUGGAGAACUGAGGGGGGCUGCUCCUAGUACGAGAGGACCGGAGUGGACGCAUCACUGGUGUUCGGGUUGUCAUGCCAAUGGCACUGCCCGGUAGCUAAAUGCGGAAGAGAUAAGUGCUGAAAGCAUCUAAGCACGAAACUUGCCCCGAGAUGAGUUCUCCCUGAGACUUUAGGUCUCCUGAAGGAACGUUGAAGACGACGACGUUGAUAGGCCGGGUGUGUAAGCGCAGCGAUGCGUUGAGCUAACCGGUACUAAUGAACCGUGAGGCUUAACCUUACAACGCCGAAG